Molecule: non-coding RNA, 90 nt
Filed under: human gut metagenome
Description: THF riboswitch
Rfam family: THF (Tetrahydrofolate) riboswitch aptamer
About the family: THF riboswitch presents a pseudoknot that joins P1-P2 and the loop of P3 and two THF binding.
Source: RNAcentral
CAGAGUAGGGUACGGCGCGUUAAGUGAUGCGGAAUGGGAGUUGUCCGCAUACGAAGGCGGCAGCCGCGGUGCCGCACCCGCAUCCGCUGC